RNAcentral lists this transfer RNA (73 nucleotides) under Bos taurus (domestic cattle). It matches the Rfam family "tRNA". Rfam says of the family: Transfer RNA (tRNA) molecules are approximately 80 nucleotides in length. RNAcentral also lists the same sequence under 4 other names. Lineage: Eukaryota; Metazoa; Chordata; Mammalia; Artiodactyla; Bovidae. The record is from Rfam by way of RNAcentral.
UUCCUGGCAGUUCAAUAGUUAGGACUCUGCACUCCCACUGCCGACAGCCCAGGUUCAAUCCCUGGUUGGGGAA